GACAGAAAAAGACCUUCACUUCAAGAGAAGAAAUACUUUCUCGAUAGCUUCAAACGUUUGACCUUCGACAUUGAAGCUCCUUCAAAACAGCUUCAAGCGGCAACUUCAAGGGACUAUCAAAUAUUUUUCUGCGGUAUUCUCCACGCUAUGAAAGUCGAAGGAAGAAGCAGAGUCAACGAAAGAUUAAGAGCAACUGGAAUAACUGGUAGAAAAAAACAAACAAGCAAAGGGCCAAUAGUUCUCAAUAGUGACGACAAGGGGAAAACAGAGAUAAUGACGAGGGAUCAAACAAAAAACAUGCAACUCCAAUAACUAACAACAAACGAAAGUGCGAUGCUUCUACAAUAGAGGUCAAAGUUCAAGCAAACAAACCAAGGAUAAAGAGCAAGGUCAGGAUUAUUUGGAAAAAAAAAAGAAGCAAGGCCAACAAGAAAUGUUAAGGGUUGAAAAUCUUAUAGAUCUAAAUUGCGAUGCAGGAUGUGAAAAAAAAAUAAAAUAGAACUAAAUAAGAAAAGGAGAAAGGACGUAGUAGAAGAAGAAGAGCAACAUGAACUACAUGAGGGAAAUGUAUGAUAAUGUAGAUUUUAUGAAAUAAUCUAUUAAUUACAGUAUAUUUGUAAA
Molecule: long non-coding RNA, 621 nt
Organism: Benincasa hispida (wax gourd)
Lineage: Eukaryota; Viridiplantae; Streptophyta; Magnoliopsida; Cucurbitales; Cucurbitaceae
Source: RefSeq, a predicted model, not a curated record